This 910-nucleotide ribosomal RNA is filed under the name uncultured bacterium. Its description in RNAcentral is "bacterial SSU rRNA". It matches the Rfam family "Bacterial small subunit ribosomal RNA", at positions 33 to 925 of the family's 1533-position model. The record is from RNAcentral.
ACGCUGGCGGCGUGCCUAAUACAUGCAAGUAGAACGCUGAAGAGAGGAGCUUGCUCUUCUUGGAUGAGUUGCGAACGGGUGAGUAACGCGUAGGUAACCUGCCUUGUAGCGGGGGAUAACUAUUGGAAACGAUAGCUAAUACCGCAUAACAAUAGGUGACACAUGUCAUUUAUUUGAAAGGGGCAAUUGCUCCACUACAAGAUGGACCUGCGUUGUAUUAGCUAGUAGGUGAGGCAACGGCUCACCUAGGCGACGAUACAUAGCCGACCUGAGAGGGUGAUCGGCCACACUGGGACUGAGACACGGCCCAGACUCCUACGGGAGGCAGCAGUAGGGAAUCUUCGGCAAUGGGGGCAACCCUGACCGAGCAACGCCGCGUGAGUGAAGAAGGUUUUCGGAUCGUAAAGCUCUGUUGUAAGUCAAGAACGAGUGUGAGAGUGGAAAGUUCACACUGUGACGGUAGCUUACCAGAAAGGGACGGCUAACUACGUGCCAGCAGCCGCGGUAAUACGUAGGUCCCGAGCGUUGUCCGGAUUUAUUGGGCGUAAAGCGAGCGCAGGCGGUUUGAUAAGUCUGAAGUUAAAGGCUGUGGCUCAACCAUAGUUCGCUCUGGAAACUGUCAAACUUGAGUGCAGAAGGGGAGAGUGGAAUUCCAUGUGUAGCGGUGAAAUGCGUAGAUAUAUGGAGGAACACCGGUGGCGAAAGCGGCUCUCUGGUCUGUAACUGACGCUGAGGCUCGAAAGCGUGGGGAGCGAACAGGAUUAGAUACCCUGGUAGUCCACGCCGUAAACGAUGAGUGCUAGGUGUUGGAUCCUUUCCGGGAUUCAGUGCCGCAGCUAACGCAUCAAGCACUCCGCCUGGGGAGUACGACCGCAAGGUUGAAACUCAAAGGAAUUGACGGGGGCCCGCA